This is a long non-coding RNA of Talpa occidentalis (Iberian mole), 336 nucleotides long. RefSeq lists it as uncharacterized. The record is from RefSeq and is a predicted model, not a curated record. Lineage: Eukaryota; Metazoa; Chordata; Mammalia; Eulipotyphla; Talpidae. The transcript has 4 exons.
CCAUACAGUACCUGAUCAAGAGGUCAUGAAUUCCUUUGAAAAUCUAUUGAAAUUUCCCAGCCCCAUCCCAGAAAUACACAUGGGAGAUUUUAAAAAGCCACCUUGCAGAAAGCAGAAGUAAUACUUCCUCGAUUAUCUGGGGGAAUCAAUAUUGUAUGGUUCAGUUGCUCUCAGAUGUACCCCUUUGGCCCUACUCACUAAUGAAGAACUAGUCAAGUCUUCUCAACCCAUGCUCCAUGGAGCCUGCAGAAGCGUUUACCACUCCUGCCAGACCACGCCUAAACAAGUUUCUUCCCCACCGUGCAUAAUCCCCUCCAGUUCCAUCCAUGUUGUCAC